AGUGAACGCUGGCGGUAGGCCUAACACAUGCAAGUCGAACGGCAGCACAGUAAGAGCUUGCUCUUACGGGUGGCGAGUGGCGGACGGGUGAGGAAUACAUCGGAAUCUACUUUUUCGUGGGGGAUAACGUAGGGAAACUUACGCUAAUACCGCAUACGACCUACGGGUGAAAGCAGGGGAUCUUCGGACCUUGCGCGAUUGAAUGAGCCGAUGUCGGAUUAGCUAGUUGGCGGGGUAAAGGCCCACCAAGGCGACGAUCCGUAGCUGGUCUGAGAGGAUGAUCGGCCACACUGGAACUGAGACACGGUCCAGACUCCUACGGGAGGCAGCAGUGGGGAAUAUUGGACAAUGGGCGCAAGCCUGAUCCAGCCAUACCGCGUGGGUGAAGAAGGCCUUCGGGUUGUAAAGACCUUUUGUUGGGAAAGAAAAGCAGCAGGUUAAUACCCCGCUGUUCUGACGGUACCCAAAGAAUAAGCACCGGCUAACUUCGUG
Molecule: ribosomal RNA, 492 nt
Filed under: uncultured bacterium
Lineage: Bacteria
Description: partial 16S ribosomal RNA
Rfam family: Bacterial small subunit ribosomal RNA
Source: RNAcentral